AAGGUGGAAGCAAUUUUGCCCUGUGAUUUUUGAAAGUUUUUCCAUUGGUUUGUGCAUCUACAUCGGAAAACCUGGGCAGAUGGAAGCCUGGUAUGGUCACAAGUGAUGACAACUAGAACAGCAGAUAGCAUACAAGGCCAACAAGAAACAAAGUCCUAAUUUUCACCUCAUCACCGUCUUCGCCUUCGCUUUCACCUUAUCGCCGUCUUCGCCUUCGCCUCAUCGCCGUCUUCGCCUUCGCCUCAUCGCCGUCUUCGCCUUCGCCUCA
Daphnia carinata is the source of this 268-nucleotide long non-coding RNA. RefSeq lists it as uncharacterized. The record is from RefSeq and is a predicted model, not a curated record. Lineage: Eukaryota; Metazoa; Arthropoda; Branchiopoda; Diplostraca; Daphniidae. The transcript is spliced from 3 exons.